GACGAACGCUGGCGGCGUACUUAACACAUGCAAGUCGAACGGUAAGGCCCUUCGGGGUACACGAGCGGCGAACGGGUGAGUAACACGUGGGUGAUCUGCCCUGCACUUCGGGAUAAGCCUGGGAAACUGGGGCUAAUACCGGAUAGGACCCUGGGAUGCAUGUCCUGGGGUGGAAAGCUUUUGCGGUGUGGGAUGGGCCCGCGGCCUAUCAGCUUGUUGGUGGGGUGAUGGCCUACCAAGGCGACGACGGGUAGCCGGCCUGAGAGGGUGACCGGCCACACUGGGACUGAGAUACGGCCCAGACUCCUACGGGAGGCAGCAGUGGGGAAUAUUGCACAAUGGGCGCGAGCCUGAUGCAGCGACGCCGCGUGAGGGAUGACGGCCUUCGGGUUGUAAACCUCUUUCAGCACCGACGAAGCGCAAGUGACGGUAGGUGCAGAAGAAGGACCGGCCAACUACGUGCCAGCAGCCGCCGUAA
RNAcentral lists this ribosomal RNA (478 nucleotides) under uncultured bacterium. RNAcentral describes it as "partial 16S ribosomal RNA". It matches the Rfam family "Bacterial small subunit ribosomal RNA", at positions 28 to 523 of the family's 1533-position model. The record is from RNAcentral.